RNAcentral lists this ribosomal RNA (826 nucleotides) under uncultured bacterium. RNAcentral's name for it is "bacterial SSU rRNA". It matches the Rfam family "Bacterial small subunit ribosomal RNA", at positions 8 to 816 of the family's 1533-position model. The record is from RNAcentral.
AGAGUUUGAUCCUGGCUCAGGAUGAACGCUGGCGGCGUGCCUAAUACAUGCAAGUCGAACGCACAGCGAAAGGUGCUUGCACCUUUCAAGUGAGUGGCGAACGGGUGAGUAACACGUGGAUAACCUACCUCAAGGUUGGGGAUAACAUUUGGAAACAGAUGCUAAUACCGAAUAAAACUUCGUAUCGCAUGAUACAAGGUUAAAAGGCGCUACGGCGUCACCUAGAGAUGGAUCCGCGGUGCAUUAGUUAGUUGGUGGGGUAAAGGCCUACCAAGACAAUGAUGCAUAGCCGAGUUGAGAGACUGAUCGGCCACAUUGGGACUGAGACACGGCCCAAACUCCUACGGGAGGCUGCAGUAGGGAAUCUUCCACAAUGGGCGAAAGCCUGAUGGAGCAACGCCGCGUGUGUGAUGAAGGCUUUCGGGUCGUAAAGCACUGUUGUAUGGGAAGAACAGCUAGAGUAGGGAAUGACUUUAGUUUGACGGUACCAUACCAGAAAGGGACGGCUAAAUACGUGCCAGCAGCCGCGGUAAUACGUAUGUCCCGAGCGUUAUCCGGAUUUAUUGGGCGUAAAGCGAGCGCAGACGGUUGAUUAAGUCUGAUGUGAAAGCCCGGAGCUCAACUCCGGAAAGGCAUUGGAAACUGGUCAACUUGAGUGCAGUAGAGGUAAGUGGAACUCCAUGUGUAGCGGUGGAAUGCGUAGAUAUAUGGAAGAACACCAGCGGCGAAGGCGGCUUACUGGACUGUAACUGACGUUGAGGCUCGAAAGUGUGGGUAGCAAACAGGAUUAGAUACCCUGGUAGUCCACACCGUAAACGAUGAACAC